GAUGAACGCUAGCUACAGGCUUAACACAUGCAAGUCGAGGGGCAGCAUGAAUAUUGGCUUGCCAAUAUUUGAUGGCGACCGGCGCACGGGUGAGUAACACGUAUCCAACCUUCCGGUUACUCGGGGAUAGGCUUUCGAAAGAAAGAUUAAUACCCGAUGUUGUGUAUCUUUCUCCUGAAAGAUACGCCAAAGGAUUCCGGUAACCGAUGGGGAUGCGUUCCAUUAGGCAGUUGGCGGGGUAACGGCCCACCAAACCUUCGAUGGAUAGGGGUUCUGAGAGGAAGGUCCCCCACAUUGGAACUGAGACACGGUCCAAACUCCUACGGGAGGCAGCAGUGAGGAAUAUUGGUCAAUGGACGGAAGUCUGAACCAGCCAAGUAGCGUGAAGGAUGACUGCCCUCUGGGUUGUAAACUUCUUUUAUACGGGAAUAACAUGAGGUACGCGUACCUUAUUGCAUGUACCGUUAUGAAUAAGCAUCGGCUAACUCCGUGCCAGCAGCCGCGGUAAUACGGAGGAUGCGAGCGUUAUCCGGAUUUAUUGGGUUUAAAGGGAGCGUAGGUGGGAUAUUAAGUCAGCUGUGAAAGUUUGGGGCUCAACCUUAAAAUUGCAGUUGAUACUGGUUUCCUUGAGUACGGUACAGGUGGGCGGAAUUCGUGGUGUAGCGGUGAAAUGCUUAGAUAUCACGAAGAACUCCGAUCGCGAAGGCAGCUCACCGGGCCGGAACUGACACUGAUGCUCGAAAGUGCGGGUAUCAAACAGGAUUAGAUACCCUGGUAGUCCGCACAGUAAACGAUGAAUACUCGCUGUUUGCGAUACACUGUAAGCGGCCAAGCGAAAGCGUUAAGUAUUCCACCUGGGGAGUACGCCGGCAACGGUGAAACUCAAAGGAAUUGACGGGGGCCCGCACAAGCGGAGGAACAUGUGGUUUAAUUCGAUGAUACGCGAGGAACCUUACCCGGGCUUAAAUUGCGCUGGCUUUUACCGGAAACGGUAUUUUCUUCGGACCAGCGUGAAGGUGCUGCAUGGUUGUCGUCAGCUCGUGCCGUGAGGUGUCGGCUUAAGUGCCAUAACGAGCGCAACCCUUAUCUUUAGUUACUAACAGUUUUGCUGAGGACUCUAAAGAGACUGCCGUCGUAAGAUGCGAGGAAGGUGGGGAUGACGUCAAAUCAGCACGGCCCUUACGUCCGGGGCUACACACGUGUUACAAUGGGGAGCACAGCAGGUUGCUACACGGCGACGUGAUGCCAAUCCGUAAAACUCCUCUCAGUUCGGAUCGAAGUCUGCAACCCGACUUCGUGAAGCUGGAUUCGCUAGUAAUCGCGCAUCAGCCACGGCGCGGUGAAUACGUUCCCGGGCCU
This 1359-nucleotide ribosomal RNA is filed under the name uncultured bacterium. RNAcentral describes it as "bacterial SSU rRNA". It matches the Rfam family "Bacterial small subunit ribosomal RNA", at positions 28 to 1381 of the family's 1533-position model. The record is from RNAcentral.